Molecule: ribosomal RNA, 497 nt
Filed under: uncultured bacterium
Lineage: Bacteria
Description: partial 16S ribosomal RNA
Rfam family: Bacterial small subunit ribosomal RNA
Source: RNAcentral
GACGAACGCUGGCGGCGUGCCUAAUACAUGCAAGUAGAACGCUGAAGAGAGGAGCUUGCUCUUCUUGGAUGAGUUGCGAACGGGUGAGUAACGCGUAGGUAACCUGCCUUGUAGCGGGGGAUAACUAUUGGAAACGAUAGCUAAUACCGCAUAUCAAUGGAUGACCCAUGUCAUUUAUUUGAAAGGGGCAAAUGCUCCACUACAAGAUGGACCUGCGUUGUAUUAGCUAGUAGGUGAGGUAACGGCUCACCUAGGCGACGAUACAUAGCCGACCUGAGAGGGUGAUCGGCCACACUGGGACUGAGACACGGCCCAGACUCCUACGGGAGGCAGCAGUAGGGAAUCUUCGGCAAUGGGGGCAACCCUGACCGAGCAACGCCGCGUGAGUGAAGAAGGUUUUCGGAUCGUAAAGCUCUGUUGUAAGUCAAGAACGAGUGUGAGAGUGGAAAGUUCACACUGUGACGGUAGCUUACCAGAAAGGGACGGCUAACUACGUG